UUUUUUUUUUUUUUUUUUUGCCUUUUAGGGCUGCAGGUGCAGCUUAAGGAAGUUCCCAGACUACAGGUCAAAUUGGAACUACAGCAGCAGGCCUACGCCACAGCCAUGGCAACACCAGAUCCUUAACUCACUGAAUAAGGCCAGGAGUCGAACCCACAUCCUCAUGGAUACCAGUCAGUUUUGUCCCACUGAGCCACAACAAGGAACUCCCUCUGCAAGGAUCUUAAACUCCAUUCCAAAGUAUUUCCCAAUAUAUGUUCCAAUAUAUAUUUCCUCGUGUACAUUCUUUUAUCUUUUUAAGGCCACACCUGAGGCAUAUGGAAGUUCCUGGCUAGGGGUCGAAUCAGAGCUGCAGCUGCGGGCCUACACUACAGCCACAGCAAUGCUGGGUCCAAGCUGAAUCUGUGAAAUAUGGCACAGCUUGCAGCAACACGGGAACCUUAACCCACUGAGUGAGGCCAGGGAUCAAACUCAUGUCCUCAUGGGUACUAGUUGUGUUCUUAACUCGCUGAGCCGUGAUGGGAAAUCCUCCUCCUGUACACUUUCAUUUGUGUUUAUUUAUAAUUCUUUUCACUGCUGUUUUUGGUGGGUUAAUAUUUUCAUUCAUCUUCACUCUGCAGGCUAAUCCUAUGUGUGUGUUUUGUGUAGAUGUGGAGUGUCUGUGCACAUGAGUGUGUAUGCAGUGCAUGUGUAUAUGUGGAAUGUGUAUAUUCAUGUAUAUGUGUGUAUGCUGUGUUUGGGGGGAGUGAAAUGGGUGUGAUUAUGGUGUGUAUAUGCAUGUGUAUUUGAGGUUGCAUAUGUGUGUGUGUGUAUGCGUAGUGUGUAUGUGAUUGUAUCUGGUGGUACGUGUGUGCAUUGAAGUGUGUGUAUUCAUGCACGGUAUGUGUGUGGUUUACAUUUGGAGGACUGUGUGUGUGUGUUGAUAUACAUAUGUGGUGUGGGGCUAUGACGUGGAGUGGUAUGUGUUCGUGUGUAUCUAUGUAUAUUAUGUUUGGGAGAGUGUAUAGUGUGUAUGUGAAAAUUGUGUAUCUAUGAAAUUGACACUCACUGAAUUUCUUGACUAUGUUCUAAUCUAGUAAAGAGAUAGCUUGGGAAUGUAAGAGGACAUUGCUCUAUUCCUUUUUUUAAAAAAAUCUGUGUUUGAAAUAGACUUUGAAUAUUUAUUUUCAUACACAAAGCAGUUAUUUUUGUUCAUAGCCAAAGGCAGCCAUCUUGGACUUUUGGGACAAUGCCCAAAAUAAUAUUUCCUAAAAGCAAUUUACAAUUGGAACGGACAUGCCAUUUUUAUAUGUCCAACAAGAUGACAGAAGAUCAUUGAUGCUAUUUGAGAGAGAGAAAAUCUAUUAAAAUGUUUCUGACUGUAGCAACAAUAAAACACUAAUGAACCAGAGGAACAGAUGGAAAUUGAAAAGCAUGUGCAAUGUCAAAACCCAAAAUACAGCGAUUUGUUAAAUUACAGGGUUUGUUCCCCCAAGAGAGGAGCUGCAGUUUGCUGAUAACUCCACCACAACCAGGACCCUACUGUAACACAGCAACGCCAUUUUCUGCCUGAAACCCACAAAAUCAAACUUAUUAUGCAGAUUUGGUUACCAGGUUAGAACCAAACUUUGCUGUCCUGUUUCCAAAGCCUGAACUUUCUAAAUUGUCAAAAGAACUACAUUUUCCUAAUCGUCUCCUGACUAGAUAGUUGCAAAGACUGCUAUAAAUUGCCAUUAGAAAAAUGCCCCAGGAUAAAUGCUGUUUGCUUUUUGACCAUUUGGAAGGAUUUUUCUACAGCCUUUAAAAUUCUUGCAUCACCCGGACUUCUUUGGAGAACUGAAAUGCGUUGUGUUGCGUUGUACCUCAAAAUAGAACCCGUGAUCCAGGAGGGCAAGUGGUUCCUAGGAAGGGUUUUGCAAUUAUGCCAGCUGGGUGUACCAGGCUAGGUAGGUGAUGGGGAAAAAAUAUGGUUCUCUCUGUUCUAAACAAAAGACCCCAGGCUACUUCUUAAUAGAAAAGUGAGGUUUUAGAAGGUUCCUGAGCACAGACAAAUGGGAAACAAUGUUCUGUCCAUUAUUUUAAAGAAGGAAUCUUUUCUGUGUUGAUUUUUUUUUCCCCAGAAGUAGUUGGGGGUUGGAAACCAAAAGGAAAGCAGGGGGUGCAAUGGGAACUGCAAAGGAGCAGGCACUUGCACUGAGUCUAGGUGGUUCUCAGGGCCUUUCACGUCUCUGAGCACUUGCUGUGUUCCUCCUGCCGAAGAAGCAAGCCCUCUCAUGGUCAUGGGAAUGUGAAUGGAUUCGAGCCAUACUGGAGAACAUGUUUCUAUAAUCUACUAAAACUGUGACCAUGCACACUCUAUGCCCAGUAAGUGUAUUUAUCAGUAUCUUUCCUAGAAAAAUACUCCUCCAUGAGCACCAGGAAGGUGGUCCUAAAGUGGCCAGUGCAGCCUUGUGUGUCACAGCAGAGAAUUGGAAGGGAACGUCAUGUUUACCAACAGCGGAAGGGCUAAGCAAUAGACAGUGGACUUAGGUUUUUGAAUUAUUGGCAACACUUUAUAUAAGAUGGAUUUACAGUAGGGACACCACAAAACUCCCAACAUGCAGCACUGAAUUUAAACAAGCAGCAGAACAAAAUAGAAAAAAUCAAAAAAAGAGCAGAUCCUCAUUACUCGUGGAUUCCAUAUUUGCGAAUUCACCUAUUCACUAAAAUGUAUUGUAACUCUAAAAUUAACACUCAGGGAACAUUCACAGACGUGUACAGAGUGGUGAAAAAUUUAAGCUUCCUGACACGCAUAUUUCCAACUGAGGUCGAUCAGGAUAACUCUGCAUUCUUGUCUCAGCUCUGCCAUAUAAACAAGUGGCCUUUCCACGGUCUACCUAGUGUCAUUUUUUUCCACAUUUUUUUGCUUUCUGUUGGUAAUUUUGCUGUUCAAAAUGCCCCCAACAUACUGCUGAUGUGCUGUCAAGUGAUCUCAAGUGCAGGAGGGCUGCAAUCAGCCUUACAGAGAAAAUAUGUGUGUUAGAUAAACUUCAUCCAGGUACCGCUACAAUACAGUGCUGUUGGCUGAGUUCAGUGUUAAUUGAUCAACAGCAUGGUACACCCAGAAAAUGGAGAAAAAACCCACCAAUGUGUACAUGAGGCCACUCCAGAAAGUUCUUUUUUUUUUUUAUUUUUUUUAUUUUCCCACUGUACAGCAAGGGGGUCAGGUUAUCCUUACAUGUAUACAUUACAAUUACAUUUUUUCCCCACCGUUUGUUCUGUUGCAACAUGAGUAUCUAGACAUAGUUCUCAAUGCUAUUCAGCAGGAUCUCCUUGUAAAUCUAUUCUAAGUUGUGUCUGAUAACAGAAAGUUCUAAAGUUAAUGUCUACACGCUAUGAAAUAGAUGGAAUAGAUGCUACAUGCUAUGGAAUAGAUG
RNAcentral lists this long non-coding RNA (3395 nucleotides) under Sus scrofa (pig). Its description in RNAcentral is "lncRNA (ENSSSCG00000052728.1)". The record is from RNAcentral. Lineage: Eukaryota; Metazoa; Chordata; Mammalia; Artiodactyla; Suidae.